UUAAAACACUGGUUCUCAUAUGAUCACUGAAAUUAAGCAAUGUUGAGCCUGUUCAGUGCUUAGGUGGGUAACCGCUUGGGGAUACUAGGUGCUGUAA
Non-coding RNA from Acanthosepion pharaonis, 97 nucleotides. The record is from the annotation of a GenBank genome assembly. Lineage: Eukaryota; Metazoa; Mollusca; Cephalopoda; Sepiida; Sepiidae.